CCCUGGCGUUUCGGGUCACGUACAUCCGAGGGUCG
Molecule: ribosomal RNA, 35 nt
Filed under: Chamaepsylla hartigii
Lineage: Eukaryota; Metazoa; Arthropoda; Insecta; Hemiptera; Psyllidae
Description: partial 5.8S ribosomal RNA
Source: RNAcentral